RNAcentral lists this ribosomal RNA (253 nucleotides) under uncultured bacterium. Its description in RNAcentral is "partial 16S ribosomal RNA". It matches the Rfam family "Bacterial small subunit ribosomal RNA", at positions 524 to 776 of the family's 1533-position model. The record is from RNAcentral.
UACGGAGGGGGCUAGCGUUGUUCGGAAUUACUGGGCGUAAAGCGCACGUAGGCGGCUUUGUAAGUUAGAGGUGAAAGCCCGGGGCUCAACUCCGGAAUUGCCUUUAAGACUGCAUCGCUCGAACGUCGGAGAGGUGAGUGGAAUUCCGAGUGUAGAGGUGAAAUUCGUAGAUAUUCGGAAGAACACCAGUGGCGAAGGCGACUCACUGGACGACUGUUGACGCUGAGGUGCGAAAGCGUGGGGAGCAAACAGG